UAAUAUCCAACCAGGACCUGCCUUGGUGCAGCUUGAGGCCAUCAACUCACAUCCUAAUUGCUUUCUGCUCUGUGAUGCCUUACUGAAAAUUAGGGGGUGUGGAUUAAAAUUCCAGAAGCCUUCUGUGACUCUGCUUGCAAGUCUUGGAACCCAAGAGUGUACUAAAGAAUAUUUUUAAGUAACUAAGUUUUCUACCUUAUUCUAGAAUUAAAACCACAUUCUGCUUAAACAUUUACAACUCUUCAAUGCACUCAACUCUGACGUGCCUUACAAAUACUGGGAAAUACUGUAGUAUGUGUUUUCUGCAGUCCUUCAGAAAUGGACAGUUUCAAGGGCUUACUGCUGGAGUAAUUCAACAGUCAUGCUGUGAAAAUGGGAAGAAGCAAAGAGCGAAUCAAGAGAGGAAAUAGAGGCAAAUUACCCCACCCACUUCUGCAGCCUCUGCUGAAGGCAUUUAUCGCAGUGUUUCUCAACCUGCUUUGGCUGGCAACAAGAUAGAAGGUGUGGAGCGUUUUAGGGAUGACACUCAGGAGAAGAAAAGGCGGCAAAUACCCUCCAUGGGACAUUCUCCAGCAACAACCUCUCAGAUCCCUCCUAUGUCUCUUAGUGAAAUUAAAAGGUUGGAAUUUUGAAGGAAUAAAAUCUGAAGGGAACGGAGUUGUCUUAGUGUUUUCAGGUAGAUGUGAUACUGCAGUGCUUCAUGUUUAUUGUUAAGAUGAAAAGCUGGAGAACCCUUUAGUCUGUUUUAUGUUGUGAGAUCAAGACACUUUGUGUAGAUGGGCAAAUUUCUCUGCUUCUGAGUUCUUUGUAGAGGCAUGGAAAACUUGUCUUGGAGCAGUGCAGAGGUGGUAUUUUGAUGAUGAUGGUCCAACUGGUUUCAUAUUUGUUCUAUUUAACAGCUGAUCUGAGAUGGUUCAAUCCAUAUAUCCAUAUUUCAACCCUGCCAGCAAACCUGUUGAUAAUAAACAGUUCUUAACGGCCCAAGAGCUCUCUCAUCCAGGCUCAAUAAACAAUUCCAAAAGAAGACCACUACUCAGAGAGAAUGGUUGUUCUCCAAAUGAGAUCUCUGCUGAAAACCUUCAUAUUUAAGCAUAUUAAUUGCAGGUCUCUGCCAACAGAAUAAAGCAGACUUGUUUCAAGUGUUAGCUGCUCUAACUAAGAUGCGUACUGAAAACAGUUUUUAACAUUCUAAUUGUAAACUGUGCAAUAAUAAACCAACAGAAAGUUAGCUGGAGCCAAAACCAUUCAUUAUUUGCAGCCAGAAAUGAAGCUUCAGUUGCGUUCUUUCCUGUAGCAAACUGUUAAAUAUCUGCCUGAUAGAAGCUGAUGCCUUCGCACAGCUGCAGGACAAAUUCAUUUGGACUGCACUUAUUGCGCUCUGUGCUUCAACCCGGCUCUGCUUUUACUGAGACUUUAACCUCGUUUA
This is a long non-coding RNA of Centrocercus urophasianus (Greater sage-grouse), 1426 nucleotides long. RefSeq lists it as uncharacterized. Lineage: Eukaryota; Metazoa; Chordata; Aves; Galliformes; Phasianidae. The record is from RefSeq and is a predicted model, not a curated record. The transcript is spliced from 3 exons.